CCUACGGGUGGCAGCAGUGGGGAAUAUUGCACAAUGGGGGAAACCCUGAUGCAGCGACGCCGCGUGAGUGAAGAAGUACUUCGUUAUGUAAAGCUCUAUCAGCAGGGAGGAAAAUGACGGUACCUGAGUACACAGCCCCGGCGACCUCCGUCCAAGCAGCCGCGGUAAUACGUAGGGGGCGAGGGUUAUCCGGAUUGACGGGGUUAAACGUGUACGGGGGGGGAUGGUUAAGUCAGUGGGCAAAUUGGGGGGCUAAACCCCUUCCCGCCAUUGAAACUGGCGCUCUGGAGUGGAAGAGAAGUAGGCGGAAUGCGUGGUGUAGCGGUGAAAUGCAUAGAUAUCACGCAGAACCCCGAUUGCGAAGGCAGCAUGCCGG
This 376-nucleotide ribosomal RNA is filed under the name uncultured bacterium. RNAcentral's name for it is "partial 16S ribosomal RNA". It matches the Rfam family "Bacterial small subunit ribosomal RNA", at positions 338 to 732 of the family's 1533-position model. The record is from RNAcentral.